AUUCUAGUUAGAGUGCUAGACUGCACUGGUUUUAAAAUAUUAAUAUAACAUCUAGUAAUCAUUCAUCAGGAAUUAGUGGAGUGCUAAGGGUUGAGUAAAUUGGUUGAUGUUGGACUACUUAUUUAUCACAGAGAAUAAUUCGUUGGAGCAUAAAAUUUCUUAGUUGUGUUUGAGCCAAUUGAUGUAGAACUCUAGGUUCUUGCAUCCAAAUUAAUCUUAUUCUGUGAAAACUGGUUAAGCCUGUAGAGACUGUUUUCCUGUUAAAGAAACAAAAUAGAAAACUAUUAAAUGACCCACUAAAAAUAUAAAUUUACAAUGUUUAUUA
RNAcentral lists this unclassified non-coding RNA (325 nucleotides) under Hevea brasiliensis (rubber tree). Lineage: Eukaryota; Viridiplantae; Streptophyta; Magnoliopsida; Malpighiales; Euphorbiaceae. The record is from RNAcentral.